CUCGCCUCUUGCUGCUCCUCACUUCUUCACCACGCUGAGCUCCUCUCGACCAAUCGACGCACAGAACAUCGUCGGGUGGGAAGGUAGUUGGAGGACUCCUGGGCUCCGUCACUAGGGGACUCCGCCCCUCCCGAUUUCCUCCGGGCUACAGGCGACAGAGCUGAGCCAAGCGUUUACUGGGCAGCUGUUACGCUCAGAUUCCAAAUGAAAAUGUUUGAGAGCGCUGACUCUACAGCCACAAGAUCUGGCCAGGAUCUCUGGGCUGAAAUUUGUUCCUGUCUGCCAAAUCCUGAACAAGAAGAUGGUGCCAACAAUGCGUUCUCAGACUCCUUUGUGGAUUCUUGCCCUGAAGGUGAAGGCCAGAGGGAGGUGGCUGACUUUGCUGUCCAGCCAGCUGUAAAGCCUUGGGCUCCCUUGCAGGAUUCAGAAGUGUAUUUAGCAUCUCUAGAGAAGAAGCUAAGAAGAAUCAAAGGUUUAAAUCAGGAAGUGACUUCCAAGGACAUGCUUCGAACUCUGGCCCAAGCCAAGAAGGAAUGCUGGGAUCGGUUCCUCCAGGAGAAGUUAGCUUCAGAGUUCUUUGUGGAUGGACUUGAUUCUGAUGAGAGCACCUUGGAACAUUUCAAGAGGUGGCUCCAGCCAGAUAAAGUAGCCGUCAGCACAGAGGAGGUCCAGUAUCUGAUUCCUCCAGAGUCACAGGUUGAGAAGCCAGUGGCCGAGGACGAGCCAGCAGCCGGGGACAAGCCAGCAGCAGCAGAACAGUAAAUUACACACACACACACACACACACACACACACACACACACACACACGCCGAGCAGCUGUCUCGGGUCCAGAGCGAGCAGCGUGGAGCUCAGUGACAGCAGCAGGGAGAAAUCCACUGAAGGAAAAAACCCAAAUUUCCACUCCACAAAGAAAACAGCUGCAAGCCCCCAGGGACUUACUUGGGGCUGGCAUGUGUGACUGACUGUCUCGGAUGAAGUGACUGACCCAGUGCACACUGGAUCAAAAUGCUGCUUUCCUCUGUGUCUCACAGCUUGGCUGAGCUCUGUCACUGCAGGUUAGAAGUCUGCUAAAGAUCAAAUGUGAAAGUACUUGGAGAAACUGAGGCCUCUUAUGUGUAAUGUGUAAGUUAAGUGAGCCAUAUAUUUUCUUGCCUCUUCUGGACAUUCAUGCUUGUGUCCCAAGCAUUCCCUUGGUGAAUUGUCACGUGAGUGGGGCCAGUAAGAGUGAAGUCUGCUCCUUGAAUCCAAGCCCCAUCUGGGGCUUCUCUAACAAAUCUGUAGCCCUGUAACUCCAGAACCCCUGGCAGGAGCAGCUUUUCUGAGGAUGGAGCGUGGGACAGCCACCAGUGUGCUGAGCAGAGGUGGCGAAGGACAUUUCCAGCCCAGCAGUCGUCAUGGUAACAGCCAGGGCGGGCCAGGCAGGGAUGUGCAGAACCACGUGGGAUUGACCUUUCUGUGGAUGUCAGGUUUGAGCGAGAGCUGGGGAAAAACAGCAACAACUACUUCCCUCUGGCCCAGCCCUCAGGGCUUCUGGGCUGGGCUGAAUGAAGAAAGGGAGAAGCUGAGAAGUGGGACAGUUGGCGAGAGAGCCAAGAGAGAGACAGGGCUUUAGUCAGAGCCAGCUAGAGAACCCAUGGGAAGAGGGACAGGCUGGUCACCAGCAGGCUUCUGCGGUGAGCCCACCUGUGGCAAGCACUAGACCUCAGGCCCCCAGUUGGCAGCGCUCAUGGGUGGGUAUUAAAGGUCAGUUCCCUGUACUCAGAGCUCCCCCAGACUCCUUCAGAUCAAAUGUCAUCUUUUCCAUAUUGCAAAAGCCUUUAUUGCUCUAAGGAAAACAUGCUAAAUUAAAAAGAACCAAAUUAUUCUUUUAAAAAUAGAAAUAUUAUAAAUGGAAAAGUUCAAAGAAAAUAAAAGGCUUUCCAAUCCUCCCUCUGCUUCUCCCAGCUCUAAAAUUCCUCCACAGUUGCUUCCCAUGCCUGCCAGGUUGGAGGAAAGGGACAGGCCUGGGCCCAGCGGCCUCUUCUCUGACAAGGGCACAGAAAGGGAAGCCGGAUUGGUCGUUGCCUGAAUUUGAGGGGGGCUUGGACUGACAGGCUUCCCGCUAAUUCGAACCAGUGAAGGAGACUCAUUUCCCUCUAUGCCCCCUCUUUCUCCUAUUGGGGCGGACAUACAGGCAACAGAAAGAGGUGCCCACAGGUGCCCUGUGACCCUUUGAGGGAGAGGCGAGGGGUGCAGGGCAGCCUCAGGUGAGCUCCAUGGAGAACAUAGCUUACCAGUGGAUCCCAUUUCCAGACUUUCAAAUCAUGGCCAUGCAAGAGAUCUCGAGCUUUCUGGGACACACUGCUAUGGAAAACAAGACCACAGCCUCAGAAUAAAAAAUGUGGUCUUCUUAUUUACUGAAAAUCCACCUUCAGGAAAGACAUGAAGGGGGCACUCACCAGCCAAUAGGUGGGUAACUAACACAGCAGCACCACAGGCUUUCUUUUAUACAGGAGUACAAUCCCCAAAUCCCCUUGGAGAACUGCCUCUGGGCCACUUGUACAGGGGAAGGGGACACUUGGCAGGAGAGGGGACCGCAGACCUUGUAGUCAUAAGUUAGCAUGCUGCUAAAAGACUAUUUGAAAUGAGUGCUGAUUACAUAUAUUUAAAAGUGGUCAGCAUUACUGAAGCUCCAGCUUUUUUUUUUGAGGCAGAGUCUUACUCUAUCACCCAGGCUGGAAUGCAGUGGCAGCAUCUCGGCUCACUGCAACCUCCACCUCCCAGGUUCAAGCAAUUCUCCUGCCUCAGCCUCCCCAGUAGCUGAGAUUACAGGUGCCCACCGCCAUGCCUGGCUAAUUUUUCUAUUUUUAGUAGAGACGGGGUUUCACCAUGUUGGCCAGGUUGGUCUUGAACUCCUGACCUCAAGUGAUCCGCCCACCUCAGCCUCCCAAAGUGCUGGGAUUACAGGCAUGAGCCACCGCGUCCGGCCAAGAUCCAGCAUUUUUGAGACUCGAACCUUUCUUUCUCUGACUGACAUGUAUUGUGGAGCUCAAAAUAAACAUUCUGUAUUUUGGGA
Molecule: RNA transcript, 3057 nt
Organism: Pan troglodytes (chimpanzee)
Lineage: Eukaryota; Metazoa; Chordata; Mammalia; Primates; Hominidae
Gene: CCDC32
Gene name: coiled-coil domain containing 32
Exons: 5
Source: RefSeq, a predicted model, not a curated record